AUGUACUGCUUGUACAUUCCGGUUCCUGCGCGCCGUCCGCGCCCACCUGGCGACUGCUCGCUACGUUUGUUAGCC
Molecule: small RNA, 75 nt
Filed under: Xanthomonas floridensis
Lineage: Bacteria; Pseudomonadati; Pseudomonadota; Gammaproteobacteria; Lysobacterales; Lysobacteraceae
Description: sX9 sRNA
Rfam family: Xanthomonas sRNA sX9
Source: RNAcentral